This 253-nucleotide ribosomal RNA is filed under the name Duodenibacillus massiliensis. RNAcentral's name for it is "partial 16S ribosomal RNA". It matches the Rfam family "Bacterial small subunit ribosomal RNA", at positions 524 to 776 of the family's 1533-position model. The record is from RNAcentral. Lineage: Bacteria; Pseudomonadati; Pseudomonadota; Betaproteobacteria; Burkholderiales; Sutterellaceae.
UACGUAGGGUGCAAGCGUUAAUCGGAAUUACUGGGCGUAAAGCGUGCGCAGGCGGUUGGGUAAGACAGAUGUGAAAUCCCCGGGCUUAACUUGGGAACUGCAUUUGUGACUGUCCGACUGGAGUACGUCAGAGGGGGGUGGAAUUCCACGUGUAGCAGUGAAAUGCGUAGAUAUGUGGAAGAACACCGAUGGCGAAGGCAGCCCCCUGGGACGCAACUGACGCUCAUGCACGAAAGCGUGGGGAGCAAACAGG